UACGUAGGGUGCGAGCGUUAAUCGGAAUUACUGGGCGUAAAGCGUGCGCAGGCGGUUUUGUAAGCCAGAUGUGAAAUCCCCGGGCUCAACCUGGGAAUGGCAUUUGGGACUGCAAGGCUUGAGUGCGGCAGAGGAGACUGGAAUUCCCGGUGUAGCAGUGAAAUGCGUAGAUAUCAGGAGGAAUACCGAUGGCGAAGGCAGGUCUCUGGGCUGACACUGACGCUCAUGCACGAAAGCGUGGGGAGCAAACAGG
RNAcentral lists this ribosomal RNA (253 nucleotides) under uncultured bacterium. Its description in RNAcentral is "partial 16S ribosomal RNA". It matches the Rfam family "Bacterial small subunit ribosomal RNA", at positions 524 to 776 of the family's 1533-position model. The record is from RNAcentral.